UGAGGAAUAUUGGUCAAUGGGCGGCAGCCUGAACCAGCCAUCCCGCGUGAAGGAAGAAUGCGCUAUGCGUUGUAAACUUCUUUUUCAGGGGGAUAAAAUUUUGUAUGUAUACAGAACUGAAGGUACCCUGAGAAUAAGCAUCGGCUAACUCCGUGCCAGCAGCCGCGGUAAUACGGAGGAUGCGAGCGUUAUCCGGAUUUAUUGGGUUUAAAGGGUGCGUAGGCGGAAGAAUAAGUCAGUGGUGAAACCCUGCAGCUUAACUGUAGACUUGCCAUUGAUACUGUUUUUCUUGAGUAUGGUCAAGGCAGGCGGAAUGUGUAAUGUAGCGGUGAAAUGCUUAGAUAUUACACAGAACACCGAUAGCGAAGGCAGCUUGCUGGGCCGUUACUGACGCUGAUGCACGAAAGCGUGGGGA
Molecule: ribosomal RNA, 415 nt
Filed under: uncultured bacterium
Lineage: Bacteria
Description: bacterial SSU rRNA
Rfam family: Bacterial small subunit ribosomal RNA
Source: RNAcentral